ACUCUAGAAAUAAUGGAGACCCUGAAACGUAGCAACUGUUACUGGCUCCCACAUGAAGCUAUGCCCUGCCUUGGCACCCAUGGCAGACGCUCCUGGCAGGGUGCUGGCAAGGACGAGACUGCUCCCUUCUGUGCUUUCUGGCUCCAGGAAGGAACCUGCAGGACCUGAGUCCAUGUGCAGGAAGAGUGAACCAAGGUGGUCAUGAUGGACCCUGCAUAAGGCAGGGGGAAGGAUGGAAAGUAGAGAAGAAGACGAAUAAGAGGAUGAAGACACAGAGGAAAAAGAAGAGGAGAAAGCAUGAGAGAGGAGGAGAUGAAAAAUCCCUGGCAAUAAAGGCAGUGAACGCUACCCACAUUACUUCUUCCAAGGGCAACAAAACAUGGGCAAGAAGAUUAAACAAGAUCUAGAGAAACGUACACGCCAUCUAUGUAUUCAUUGGAAGGCUCAGAAUUUACAAGAUAAACAUUCUCCCCAAAUUACUCCAACAGCCUUUAAAAAAAAAAAAAAGACACCGGAAGGCUGGUGCUGACAUGACUCUGUUAAGGCAGAGUGGCUCUAACAAGAAGAGCCUGCCUUCACCCACGAUAUCACGUACUCAGCUCCUGAAUACCAAUCUUCCUCACUGCUCAGUCUGGCAUGUCCACAGCACCGCCCUCCUGUGCAACAGGACAGGGUACAGCCAGCAUGGAGCUGGAAGGCAGCCAGAGUACAGAAGGUGUCAUGAUCUCAGUGCACACAGUAGUCCUGACAUCAGAGACUAGAGCCUCAUGCUCUCAUGCCUUCAGGCUCCUAAAAGCAAUGACCAGUUGUGUCCCAAGAAAUGGCCAAAUCUAUAAAACUGCUCCUGAUGGUGCCUUAGGUGGACUCUCUGCCUCGUAUUGUCAUACUGUAGGACUCACCUAUAACUCUCCUAUGGACCUAUGGACCUAUGGACCUAUGGACCUAUGGACCUAUGGACCUACGAACCUAUGGACCUAAGGAUUUAUGAUGGGUGACAAAUAGACAUUCCCUCCAUGGGUCUUUCAACAAGACUAUUGUACCCAGUUCUUUGGGUUAUGUCAUGAUUAGUCAGCUAAGAUUGGACUUCUCUGCCCCCAAAUCAGCUAGACACAGAAAUUAACUAACCUUGAGAUCCCUUGUUCUAAAACAGCAGUCCUCAACCAAUAAAUCAAGACCCCUUUGGGGUCAAACCCCUUCAUAGGGGUUACCUAAGACCAUCAGCAAACCCAGAUAUUUCCUUCACAAUAUAUGACAGUAGCAAAAUUACAGUUAUGAAGUAGCAACAAAAAACAUUUUUUGGUCAGGGGUCAGCAAAACAUGAGGAACUGUAUUAAAGGGUUGUAGCAUUGGGUAGGUUGAGAACUACUACUCUAAAACAAGCCCAGGGUGAUCCAAACAAAACUACCUCCAGAUACCUGGUCCUGAGCUAAGGCUGGUACCAAUAUUCUCUCUUACUGUUCUUCCUCUGCUCUGACAACUUCCGGCUAGACUCAGCUGCUUGUAAAUUUGAAAUGUUCCCAGGAUGAUGGUAUAAGAAAAAAGGCCGUGGGUAUCUAUCCUAACAGGAGCUGUGUUGAGGGAAACACAUCUUCCCUUUGUCCUUCAGCUGUAGAAACAAAUGCACUAUCCAGGGCCAGCUCAGAGGACGUGGCUGCCGUAUACAGUGUUGUAUUCCAUACAGAAGCCAGUGUAGGCUCAGAUCACUGAUGAAUCUCACAGACCCAAACAUGCACUGGGUGGAAAGCACACAUUGGUUGGUUUGUUGGUAGCUUUCAAGAACAAUAUGCCUCCUUAGGUGUUGAGGCUAACCGCCUCCAGACUAUUUGUCCCCAUCAAGAUAAGGAGCAGGCAAAGACCAUCACAUAAUUUUACAACUCCCGUCUUGUCUCUGCCCACUGCCUCCACUUCCUGCUUGGAAGUGGUAGGCAAGAUGAACUUCCACUCCAAGACCUCCACUGUAGAGCACUGACAUGAUUAACUGUCGUUAACGUCCUAAAUUUCUUUACCAUCUGCCCUCCCAUGAGACUUACAUCCCUGAAGAUAGAAAAACCUGAGUCAGGGAAAAUUGCAAAGGACAGACACUGCUUAAAGAAGCACAACAGCCUUCAGGGGUGUUCUUCCUUGAGGUCCUGAGAGCUCUCGGCCACUGCCUGUUCACACAGAGUAAAGGAAAGGCAUAGAAGCCACAUGGUGAUUGCAGAGAGUGAGAUCAACCCCAAAACUACUACAACGGAAGAACCUUGCCAGAAGAAAAUGAAUGUUCUAGAAUUAGAGCUUGUCAGCAUGACUCCCUGCCGUUUAUCCUUUACUUCAGUACUGGCACAGCACUGAGCCGAGUGCCCGCAUAUAAGAACAUUACUGUGUGCAUAGCAACAGGGCUAACCAAGCUGUAACGUUUGCCAAGUCUCCUCCGUCUCUGCUGCUGCUGUGUGACUCGUGGUCAUGCCUGUGUGCUGAUAGCCACCAGUCUCUCAUGGACCUCUUACAUCUCGGGAAACUUCUAGCCCUUGAAUGGGGAUUUCACCCAUGCCAGUGAAGAACCAGGCUCUUAAAGUAUUUGUCUUAAAAUAACCAGUUUGUACUAUUUUACAAAUUUGACCGCUUCAUUAUCUGGGUCUUCAGCUCUUUGCUUCACUUGACAUUCCUACCCUCAUAUAUAUGACAAUAUCUUCUCUUCCCAGCCUUGCUAGCAUUAAUAAAACAUGGGCUAGCAUUUUUAAAGCAGCAUUCGUUUUGAGGAAGCAAAGGGAAAAAUAAAUGUGCGACUUGGCUUUUUAUUC
Molecule: long non-coding RNA, 2780 nt
Filed under: Mus musculus (house mouse)
Lineage: Eukaryota; Metazoa; Chordata; Mammalia; Rodentia; Muridae
Description: RIKEN cDNA B230214G05 gene
Source: RNAcentral